GAUGAACGCUAGCUACAGGCUUAACACAUGCAAGUCGAGGGGAAACGACAUCGAAAGCUUGCUUUUGAUGGGCGUCGACCGGCGCACGGGUGAGUAACGCGUAUCCAACCUGCCCAUCACUUGGGAAUAACCUUGCGAAAGUAAGACUAAUACCCAAUGACAUCCCACGAAGACAUCUGAAUGGGAUUAAAGAUUUAUCGGUGAUGGAUGGGGAUGCGUCUGAUUAGCUUGUUGGCGGGGUAACGGCCCACCAAGGCAACGAUCAGUAGGGGUUCUGAGAGGAAGGUCCCCCACAUUGGAACUGAGACACGGUCCAAACUCCUACGGGAGGCAGCAGUGAGGAAUAUUGGCCAAGGGGCGAGAGCCUGAACCAGCCAAGUAGCGUGCAGGAGGACGGCCCUAUGGGUUGUAAACUGCUUUUAUAAGGGAAUAAAGUGGGUCUCGUGAGACUUUUUGCAUGUACCUUAUGAAUAAGGACCGGCUAAUUCCGUG
RNAcentral lists this ribosomal RNA (492 nucleotides) under uncultured bacterium. Its description in RNAcentral is "partial 16S ribosomal RNA". It matches the Rfam family "Bacterial small subunit ribosomal RNA", at positions 28 to 507 of the family's 1533-position model. The record is from RNAcentral.